GUAAUGUCUGGGAAACUGCCUGAUGGAGGGGGAUAACUACUGGAAACGGUAGCUAAUACCGCAUAAUGUCGCAAGACCAAAGAGGGGGACCUUCGGGCCUCUUGCCAUCGGAUGUGCCCAGAUGGGAUUAGCUAGUAGGUGGGGUAAUGGCUCACCUAGGCGACGAUCCCUAGCUGGUCUGAGAGGAUGACCAGCCACACUGGAACUGAGACACGGUCCAGACUCCUACGGGAGGCAGCAGUGGGGAAUAUUGCACAAUGGGCGCAAGCCUGAUGCAGCCAUGCCGCGUGUAUGAAGAAGGCCUUCGGGUUGUAAAGUACUUUCAGCGAGGAGGAAGGUGUUGUGGUUAAUAACCACAGCGAUUGACGUUACUCGCAGAAGAAGCACCGGCUAACUCCGUGCCAGCAGCCGCGGUAAUACGGAGGGUGCAAGCGUUAAUCGGAAUUACUGGGCGUAAAGCGCACGCAGGCGGUCUGUUAAGUCAGAUGUGAAAUCACCGGGCUCAACCUGGGAACUGCAUUUGAAACUGGCAGGCUUGAGUCUUGUAGAGGGGGGUAGAAUUCCAGGUGUAGCGGUGAAAUGCGUAGAGAUCUGGAGGAAUACCGGUGGCGAAGGCGGCCCCCUGGACAAAGACUGACGCUCAGGUGCGAAAGCGUGGGGAGCAAACAGGAUUAGAUACCCUGGUAGCCACGCCGUAAACGAUGUCGACUUGGAGGUUGUGCCCUUGAGGCGUGGCUUCCGGAGCUAACGCGUUAAGUCGACCGCCUGGGGAGUACGGCCGCAAGGUUAAAACUCAAAUGAAUUGACGGGGGCCCGCACAAGCGGUGGAGCAUGUGGUUUAAUUCGAUGCAACGCGAAGAACCUUACCUACUCUUGACAUCCAGAGAACUUAGCAGAGAUGCCUUGGUGCCUUCGGGAACUCUGAGACAGGUGCUGCAUGGCUGUCGUCAGCUCGUGUUGUGAAAUGUUGGGUUAAGUCCCGCAACGAGCGCAACCCUUAUCCUUUGUUGCCAGCGGUUAGGCCGGGAACUCAAAGGAGACUGCCAGUGAUAAACUUGUGGAACCUUGGUACGACUUCAUGUCAUCACGUCCCUUACGAGUAGGGCUACACACGUGCUACAAUGGCGCAUACAAAGAGAAGCGACCUCGCGAGAGCAAGCGGACCUCAUAAAGUGCGUCGUAGUCCGGAUUGGAGUCUGCAACUCGACUCCAUGAAGUCGGAAUCGCUAGUAAUCGUAGAUCAGAAUGCUACGGUGAAUACGUUCCCGGGCCUU
This 1274-nucleotide ribosomal RNA is filed under the name Leclercia adecarboxylata. RNAcentral describes it as "partial 16S ribosomal RNA". It matches the Rfam family "Bacterial small subunit ribosomal RNA", at positions 110 to 1382 of the family's 1533-position model. The record is from RNAcentral. Lineage: Bacteria; Pseudomonadati; Pseudomonadota; Gammaproteobacteria; Enterobacterales; Enterobacteriaceae.